CUCCGCCCGGGCGAGUAGUGCAGGUGCCGCUGCGCCGGGGCCUGGGAGGCGCGCGCCGAGCGGAGCGGAGCCGAGGAGGGAUGGAGAGCGGGCCGCCCGGGCUGCAGGAGCACCGGCGCGGGGCGUAGGCGGCGCGAGGCGGGCGCGAGGCGGGCGCUCGGGCGCGAGGCGCGUGCGGGCGCGGGAGCACUUUGCGAUAGGAUGAGGCUCCGGGCUGGCGCGGUAGUACUAUGAUUUGGUAUGUGGCCACUUUCAUAGCAAGUGUGAUCGGCACCCGAGGGCUUGCGGCUCAAGGCGCCCACGGCCUGCGAGAGGAGCCCGAAUUUGUGACGGCAAGAGCUGGGGAGUCCGUGGUCCUGAGAUGCGACGUGAUCCACCCAGUGACGGGACAGCCCCCACCCUAUGUUGUAGAGUGGUUCAAGUUUGGGGUCCCCAUCCCUAUCUUCAUCAAGUUUGGCUACUACCCCCCGCACGUGGACCCUGAGUAUGCAGGGCGGGCCAGUCUUCAUGAUAAGGCAUCUCUGCGGCUGGAACAAGUUCGCUCUGAGGACCAGGGCUGGUACGAGUGCAAAGUGCUCAUGCUGGACCAGCAGUAUGACACCUUCCACAAUGGCAGCUGGGUCCACCUCACCAUCAACGCCCCUCCCACCUUUACAGAAACACCCCCCCAGUACAUCGAAGCCAAGGAGGGUGGUAGUAUCACCAUGACCUGCACAGCUUUUGGGAACCCCAAGCCCAUCGUCACCUGGCUCAAGGAGGGGACGCUCCUCGGUGCUAGUGGGAAAUACCAGGUGAGUGACGGCAGCCUGACAGUGACAUCGGUCAGUCGGGAGGACAGAGGUGCUUACACCUGUCGAGCGUACAGCAUUCAGGGGGAGGCUAUCCACACGACCCACCUGCUUGUCCAAGGGCCCCCGUUCAUCGUCUCCCCUCCUGAGAACAUCACCGUCAACAUCUCCCAGGAUGCUCUGCUCACCUGCCGGGCAGAGGCGUAUCCGGGCAACCUCACCUACACCUGGUACUGGCAGGACGAGAACGUCUACUUUCAGAACGACCUGAAGCUGAGGGUGCGUAUCCUAAUCGACGGGACCCUUAUCAUCUUCCGGGUGAAGCCGGAGGACUCGGGGAAGUACACCUGUGUGCCCAGCAACAGCCUGGGGCGCUCCCCCUCCGCCUCGGCGUACCUGACAGUGCAGUACCCAGCCCGUGUCCUCAACAUGCCCCCUGUAAUUUACGUGCCCGUGGGGAUCCAUGGCUACAUCCGCUGCCCUGUGGACGCAGAACCACCGGCCACCGUGGUCAAGUGGAACAAGGACGGCCGCCCCCUGCAGGUCGAGAAGAACCUGGGUUGGACCCUGAUGGAGGAUGGCUCCAUUCGAAUUGAGGAGGCCACAGAGGAGGCUCUUGGCACUUAUACCUGUGUGCCUUACAACACCCUGGGGACCAUGGGCCAGUCUGCCCCUGCGAGGCUUGUCCUGAAGGACCCCCCAUAUUUUACGGUGCUACCAGGCUGGGAGUACAGGCAGGAGGCCGGCCGGGAGCUGCUCAUCCCCUGCGCAGCCGCAGGGGACCCUUUUCCUAUCAUCACAUGGAGAAAGGUAGGGAAGCCCAGCAGAAGCAAGCACAGUGCCCUGCCCAGUGGGAGCCUGCAGUUCCGCGCCCUGAGUAAGGAGGACCACGGGGAGUGGGAAUGUGUCGCCAGCAACGUGGUCACGAGCAUCACUGCCAGCACCCACCUCACUGUCAUUGGCACCAGCCCCCAUGCCCCGGGCAGUGUCCGGGUCCAGGUCUCCAUGACAACUGCCAACGUGUCCUGGGAACCAGGCUAUGAUGGAGGCUACGAGCAGACAUUCUCAGUUUGGUACGGACCUCUGAUGAAGCGGGCACAGUUUGGGCCCCAUGACUGGCUGUCCUUGCCAGUGCCGCCGGGACCCAGCUGGCUGCUGGUGGACGCCCUGGAGCCUGAGACAGCGUACCAGUUCAGCGUUCUGGCCCAGAACAAGCUGGGAACCAGCGCCUUCAGUGAGGUGGUCACUGUGAGCACUUUAGCAUUCCCUAUUACAACUCCAGAACCCCUGGUGCUGGUCACCCCACCGAGGUGCCUCAUAGCCAAUCGGACUCAGCAGGGUGUGCUCCUGUCCUGGCUUCCGCCUGCCAACCACAGUUAUCCCAUUGACCGCUACGUCAUGGAGUUCCGCGUUGGGGAGCACUGGGAGAUGCUGGAUGACGGCAUCCCCGGCACUGAUGGAGAGUUCUUUGCCAAGGAUCUGUCACAGGACACGUGGUACGAGUUCCGGGUUCUGGCCGUCAUGCAGGAUUUGAUCAGCGAGCCCAGCAACAUCGCCGGCGUCUCCAGCACAGACAUCUUCCCGCAGCCGGACCUGACUGAGGACGGGCUGGCGCGGCCUGUGCUGGCGGGAAUCGUAGCUACCAUCUGCUUCUUGGCAGCUGCCAUCCUGUUCAGCACCCUGGCCGCCUGCUUUGUCAACAAGCAGCGCAAGCGUAAGCUCAAGCGCAAAAAAGACCCUCCGCUCUCCAUCACCCACUGCAGGAAGAGCCUGGAGUCUCCCUUGUCCUCUGGCAAGGUGAGCCCCGAGAGCAUCCGCACGCUCCGGGCGCCAUCAGAGUCCUCGGAUGACCAGGGCCAGCCCGCAGCCAAGAGGAUGCUGAGCCCCACCCGCGAGAAGGAGCUGUCGCUGUACAAGAAGACCAAGCGGGCCAUCAGCAGCAAGAAGUACAGCGUGGCCAAAGCAGAGGCUGAGGCGGAGGCCACCACACCCAUUGAGCUCAUCAGCAGGGGCCCUGAUGGCCGCUUCGUGAUGGACCCUGCAGAGAUGGAGCCCUCGCUGAAGACCAGACGUAUCGAGGGCUUCCCUUUCGCCGAGGAGACAGACAUGUACCCCGAGUUCCGCCAGUCGGACGAGGAGAACGAGGACCCCCUGGUGCCCACGUCUGUGGCCGCCCUGAAGUCCCAGCUCACGCCUCUGUCAUCCAGCCAGGAGUCUUACCUGCCACCACCAGCAUACAGCCCUCGGUUCCAGCCCCGCGGGCUGGAGGGUCCCGGUGGCCUGGAAGGUCGGCUCCAGGCCACAGGCCAGGCCCGGCCCCCUGCCCCACGGCCCUUCCACCAUGGCCAGUAUUAUGGGUACCUCAGCAGCAGCAGCCCUGGGGAGGUGGAGCCACCCCCGUUCUACGUGCCAGAAGUGGGCAGCCCCCUCAGCUCCGCCAUGUCGUCCCCACCCCUGCACACCGAGGGGCCCUUUGGCCACCCCACCAUCCCCGAGGAGAAUGGAGAGAACGCAUCUAACAGCACGCUGCCCUUGACUCAGACGCCUACAGGAGGGCGCUCCCCUGAGCCCUGGGGCCGGCCAGAAUUCCCCUUUGGGGGACUGGAGACCCCAGCAAUGAUGUUCCCCCACCAGCUGCCACCCUGUGAUGUGCCCGAGAGUCUGCAGCCCAAGGCCGGCCUCCCCCGAGGACUGCCCCCCACCUCCUUGCAGGUGCCCGCGGCCUACCCGGGCAUCCUGUCUCUGGAGGCACCGAAGGCUUGGGCAGGCAAGUCGCCCGGCAGGGGCCCUGUCCCAGCACCCCCCGCCGCCAAGUGGCAGGACAGACCUAUGCAACCUCUGGUAAGCCAAGGGCAGCUGCGACAUACAAGCCAAGGCAUGGGCAUACCCGUGCUGCCUUACCCCGAGCCGGCCGAGCCGGGGGCGCACGGCGGCCCCAGCACAUUUGGCCUGGACACCCGGUGGUACGAGCCCCAGCCCCGGCCCCGGCCCAGCCCCCGGCAGGCCAGGCGCGCCGAGCCCGGUUUACAUCAAGUGGUGCUACAGCCUUCCAGGCUCUCACCUCUGACCCAAAGCCCCCUCAGCUCCCGCACCGGCUCCCCUGAGCUCGCCGCCCGCGCCCGGCCUCGCCCAGGCCUCCUGCAGCAGGCAGAGAUGUCAGAGAUCACCCUGCAGCCGCCGGCUGCAGUCAGCUUCUCUCGCAAGUCCACGCCGUCCACGGGCUCCCCGUCCCAGAGCAGCCGCAGCGGGAGUCCCAGCUACCGGCCCGCCAUGGGCUUCACCACACUGGCCACAGGCUACCCUUCCCCUCCACCCGGCCCCGCCCCUGCGGGGCCUGGGGACAGCUUGGACGUGUUUGGACAGACGCCUUCCCCUCGAAGGAUGGGGGAGGAAUUGCUCCGACCAGAGCCCCCACCACCCACGUUACCUACUUCAGGCUAUCUGGGCAGUGUUGUCGAGACAAGCCUCUCCUCAGCUCAAUAGGCAGCAUGAAGAAGCCUCAGUCGAGGAUGAGAAGGGGUGAAGAUGUGCCGUCCGCACCGGGAAGGUGUUCUCCCUCCCGCCUGGGCACCUGCCUCCUUUGCCUGCCUUCCCGCUUCCUUCCCAGCUGCUGCUGCACUGUGGGAUCUCUCUGGGUAGACGGGCAUGUUGGGCCACUUUCUCACGAGAGGGCUGUGUGUGCACCUAGGGGGCCCUGUGUGGCCUUUUUAGCUCUGCCGUCAGGGGAUAUGGAAAGUCACGAGGUUGACCCUGACCUGAACUUUGAGGGAGCCUUUUGAAACUUUAUGGACUAAAGGACUAUGAUGACAUUCCCCAAGGAAGAUGGAGUCACUGCAUUGCCAGUGAAUGCAGGAAACCCGAGACCAGAGGUUUAUAUACUGCAAUUAGUCUGUAAGUCUCCUCUUCCCGCCUCGCUGCCAAGAUAUUUGAUGUUGGGGAGAAGAGGGACCCUCUAACAAUUUUGUUUUUUGAUCUCAGACCGCUUGCUGACCUGCUGGGACUUCAUUUGCCCUCCCAGCACUGUCUGUCCUACCUCUUUUAAUCAGGAUUUUCCAAAACCUGAUUGCAGUGGAGCUAGGGGAGAAGUUGGGGGGUUCAGGAGAAGAGUGAGGCACGUCCAUCCACCAUGGCACCAGAGCGCCCCUGAGUCUCCAGUCACAUGCUAAUGCCAGUGCUGGUUGGGAAGACAGGGUGACCUGUCUCUGUCUCUUUCCCCUUCAUUCCUCAGGCUCCCAGCUGGGUUACUUUGAGAAGAUACGGUAUUGAGAACAUGUCUCCUAGGUUUUCUUCUUUUACAACUCUUUAAAGAUUCUCUCCAGUACGCCCCGAGUGUCACACACUUCCCCUUCUCUCAGCUCUCUUGGCACCCUUGCCUUCCUGGGCUGCUCCCGGGCUGUGGCCAGACUGGGGACCCUGUCCUAACUGCGCAGUUGAUCCACCAGGCAACUGACAAUCAGGGUGGAGGAAGAGAGCCCAGUAGACGUGGUCUUCUGUUCCAACAACCUCGUUUCUCUGCCGAAUCUGAAAAUACGGAGGUUCACCACCUUCUUGUUACAGACGGCGAGGGCUCUGGGAGGCCGCCAGAUUCCGUUGCUCUGCUGUCACCCCCUGCCACCCCUCCUGUUCUCUGACAUGGCUGAGGAGAGCUCACUGCUCUGAGAGUGCUGGUGUGUGACAAGUGUUCCUUGCUGUUAGCCGCUGCUGUUCCAUGGGAAUCUUGCGGCUGAGGAGAAGCAGCUGGCAAGGCUGGGUUUUUUUGCAGGCUGUCUCACUGGGGGUUGUGUUUCUCACUUAGCACCCCCUUUUCUGGAGAUGGAGGAUGGUUCACUGGGAUGGGAGCUGCUUGCCCUCCUGCUCUACUUUGCCCUUUUACCUUCCGUUCAAAGGUCUUGAUGGUGGUGAUUUCGAGGAACUCCAGAGGCUGAGUCUUGUGUCUCUGACACUGAAUGCAUCCCAGCUUGAGUUACGUGAGAAGGGGCUUACUAGUAAAAGUCUCUCUCUCCCUUUGCUGGGGUCUUCUGGUUGCUCUGCAGGUUGGUUCCCAUCCGAGGUGGGCCAUUCCCCUGGAGCUUUCUGCUGGGUUUUCUUCUUUCCAGGAGCAGCCGAAAGGCGGGUGUCAUGGAGCCAUCGUGGGCACCUCAGGCUCUGUAGGACUGGACUCUUUCCUUCUAUGGGUCAGCUACUCGGCUUUCUUCCAGCCCCUCUUCCAAAGCCUCACACAUCUGGGAGCUGACCUGUGCCUCUUCUGGUUAUCCCUUCCAGAACACUUCCACCUGCACCCGGGAACGCUGCUGCACCUGAGAGGCUGGAGGCUCUGAAAUACCAACGGAUAAAGAAGCCCAAAAAGUCAUCCAAGGGCUCUUUAAAGUCGAAGAAACGAUCCGAUGGUUCUGCCUCCCAGGCUCAGCAGCUUCCCAACUCUCAGGUUCUGUGGCCCGACGAAGCUGUCUGCCUCCGAAAGAAGAAGAGACACUCUCGU
Saimiri boliviensis boliviensis (Bolivian squirrel monkey) is the source of this 6267-nucleotide non-coding RNA. NCBI's taxonomy places the organism in Eukaryota, Metazoa, Chordata, Mammalia, Primates, Cebidae. The record is from RefSeq and is a predicted model, not a curated record.